Molecule: long non-coding RNA, 1764 nt
Organism: Nerophis ophidion (straightnose pipefish)
Lineage: Eukaryota; Metazoa; Chordata; Actinopteri; Syngnathiformes; Syngnathidae
Exons: 3
Source: RefSeq, a predicted model, not a curated record
GUCUUUGUUGAGAAACCGGAUGUCAGCACACAGCGACAUAUUGCUUGGACAGCUCGGUACAAUUUUUUUUCUUUUACUUCGUGUUAUCUUAAAAGGGGAAAAUACGCAAUUCACCAAUUAAAUUUCAAACCACUACAGCACGGCGUCUUAAUUCCGUCCACGUCGGAUAACGAUGAGAUCCAUCAAGCCACACUAAGCCUCAACUAGGUCAACGAGCUAAUGCUAACUAGCCCGAGCUCGUUAAAAUACCCAAAAACGCUUACCUUUCACAAAAAGGACUUCAGCUCUAUCGUGUUUUCGACAGAUAUAGAGAAAAUAAUGAGAUGAAAGAGGAUGUCUAGUGGAUAGUGGUUUACGUAAGAUCAAAAGACACGGUUUUUCCGCUAGAAAAAAGGGCUAUAAAAGACUGCGGCCUAGCAGUAGUGGCUCCCGGCUGCUGCGAAGAAAGACUGCUGACUGGAUGCGUGCGUCACGAGGGAUCCGCUUUUUGACUGGGGCUGUUUGAGACGUUGUCGCCCUCCUCCGGUGACGUCAGGCACUGGAACGCGGAAGACGUUUCGCAAUCAACUGUGUUUCUGGUACAGCCGAAGUGUUCUGACAGGGCGGGGCCUUUGUUGUUGUUUUGCCCUGCAUAACUUUCACAACCUUGUCUUUUCUCUGGUGGGAGCAGGAAUAACAUUAGAAUACUGACUCAAACAAACCUUGUGAGCUAUUACUUUGUUGCGGCUUGAAAGAGUCAUCUAGUUCGGCUUCCCUUAAUUACUCUUUAAAGGCCUACUGAAACCCACUACUACCCACCAGGCAGUCUGAUAGUUUAUAUAUCAAUGAUGAAAUAUUAACAUAGCAACACAUGAUAAUACGGCCUUUUUAGUUUACCAAAUUACAAUUUUAAAUUUCCCGGGAGUUUCGUCUUGGAAACGUCGUGUAAUGAUGACGUGUACGCAAGACGUCAAAGUUUUUUAGGAAGUAUGAGCGCUGCGCACACACACAGCUAAAAGUUGUCUUCUUUAACGGCAUAAUUACACAGUAUUUUGGACAUCCGUGUUGCUGAAUCUUUUGCAAUUUGUUCAAUUAAUAUUGGAGAAGUCACAGUAGAAAGAUGGAGUUGGAAUACCUUAGCCUUUAGCCACACAAACACACGGUGAUUCCUUGUUUAAAAUUCCUGGAGGUGAAACUUUCCUAUGGAUCAGAGCGCGGUCAAGCCAACAUGGACCCUUACCAAAUGUCAACCAGCAGGUUUCGAUGCCGUCGACUCCCCUGAGACACUGCGCGUCAAGACACCCGUGGAGACACCCUUCUGACUAUCAGGUGUAACAGAAAGUGCAUCUGUAUCAUUCUUCAAAAGCGCACUAAAAGAACACCUCCACACUUCCCCGGAUUGUAAAUAAUCAAAUGUAUAUACUUGUUCUUAUGGUUUCUGAACUCACUAUUCUCACUGCUGGCUGUAAGUAUCCUACCAAGUCAGACUGUCUACAAUGUCCAUUUCUCUGACGAUGCAAUUGUUGAUGACUGAAGUGCUGAAAUCAACCCAACCUAACCCCCCCCUCCACAUCCCACCUCCCGGAUUGAAAGUAAUGUAGAUAAUUCAAUGUAUAUACUCUGAUGAUUAACUUGUGUGAUGACUGUAUUAUGCUGAUAGUAUAUAUUUGUACCAUGAAUUGAUUAACGUGGACCCCGACUUAAACAAGUUGAAAAACUUAUUCGGAUGUUACCCGAAAGAGUGAUAUAAUCAUUUGUGGUCAAUUGUACGGAAUAUGUACUGUA